CCCCUGCGCCCGGCGGCUCUGGGCUCCGCGCCGGGGCCGGCGCCUCCCCGCGCACCAUGCUGGAUAUUUUCAUCCUCAUGUUCUUCGCCAUCAUCGGCCUCGUCGUUCUCUCCUACAUCAUCUACAUGCUGUAGCGCGAUGCCGGCGGCCGCGCGGCGCCGCGCCGGCCGCCGCCUGAGCCGUCUCUCUUGGAUCCUUCUGGAAAAGCAUUAACCCUUCGGAGCCACCGGCACGGAGAAGAGGGGGACCCGGGCCGAGCAGCCCCAGGCGCRGCCCCCAGGACACCCGGAGUCCUUGGGCAACCUGGAGGGAAGGGAAUAAAGA
Molecule: long non-coding RNA, 324 nt
Organism: Nothoprocta perdicaria
Lineage: Eukaryota; Metazoa; Chordata; Aves; Tinamiformes; Tinamidae
Exons: 2
Source: RefSeq, a predicted model, not a curated record